AUCCAUCUGGCAAGUCCCAAAUAGGACGAAACGCGCGUCAAAAUGGAU
This 48-nucleotide non-coding RNA is filed under the name Schistosoma mansoni. Lineage: Eukaryota; Metazoa; Platyhelminthes; Trematoda; Strigeidida; Schistosomatidae. The record is from RNAcentral.